GCUGGGGACACGGCUGUCGGCAGGUCGUUCUGAGCCUGCCGCGCUGUUUCCCUGGUGU
Bos grunniens (domestic yak) is the source of this 58-nucleotide microRNA precursor. The record is from Ensembl. NCBI's taxonomy places the organism in Eukaryota, Metazoa, Chordata, Mammalia, Artiodactyla, Bovidae.